This 253-nucleotide ribosomal RNA is filed under the name uncultured bacterium. RNAcentral describes it as "partial 16S ribosomal RNA". It matches the Rfam family "Bacterial small subunit ribosomal RNA", at positions 524 to 776 of the family's 1533-position model. The record is from RNAcentral.
UACGUAGGGGGCAAGCGUUGUCCGGAUUUAUUGGGCGUAAAGCGCGUGUAGGCGGCCUGACAGGUCUGCUGUGAAAACUCGAGGCUCAACCUGGGGCCUGCAGUCGAUACGGGCAAACUAGAGUACUGCAGGGGUGACUGGAAUUCCUGGUGUAGCGGUGAAAUGCGCAGAUAUCAGGAGGAACACCGGUGGCGAAGGCGGGUUUCUGGGCAGGAACUGACGCUGAGGAGCGAAAGCGUGGGGAGCGAACAGG